UACGUAGGGGGCGAGCGUUGUCCGGAGUUACUGGGCGUAAAGCGCACGCAGGCGGUCGUGUAAGUUUGGGGUUACAGCUCCCGGCUCAACUGGGAGAGCGCCUCAAAGACUGCGCGACUUGAGAGCCAGAGAGGGACACAGAAUUCCGGGUGUAGUGGUGAAAUGCGUAGAUAUCCGGAGGAAUACCAAAGGCGAAGGCAGUGUCCUGGAGGGUUUCUGACGCUGAGGUGCGAAAGCUAGGGGAGCGAACGGG
RNAcentral lists this ribosomal RNA (253 nucleotides) under uncultured bacterium. RNAcentral's name for it is "partial 16S ribosomal RNA". It matches the Rfam family "Bacterial small subunit ribosomal RNA", at positions 524 to 776 of the family's 1533-position model. The record is from RNAcentral.